CCGAGCUAGAGUGUGUCAGAGGGAGGUGGAAUUCCGUGUAGCAGUGAAAUGCGUAGAUAUGCGGAGAGACACCGAUGGCGAAGGCAGCCUCCUGGGAUAACACUGACGCUCAUACACGAAAGCGUGGGAGCAAACGGGAUUAGAUACCCUGGUAGUCCACGCCUAAACGAUGUCAACUAGCUGUUGGGGCCUUCGGGCCUUGGUAAGCGCAGCUAACGCUGAUGAAGUUGACCGCCUGGGAAAUACAGUCGCAAGAUUAAAACUCAAAGGAAUUGACGGGGACCCGCACAAGCGGUGGAUGAUGUGGAUUAAUUCGAUGCAACGCGAAAAACCUUACCUACCCUUGACAUGUCUGGAAUCCCGAAGAGAUUUGGGAGUGCUCGCAAAGGAGCCGGAACACAGGUGCUGCAUGGCUGUCGUCAGCUCGUGUCGUGAGAUGUUGGGUUAAGUCCGCAACGAGCGCAACCCUUGUCAUUAGUUGCUGCGAGGCACUCUAAUGAGACUGCCGGUGACAAACCGGAGGAAGGUGGGGAUGACGUCAAGUCCUCAUGGCCCUUAUGGGUAAGGGCUUCACACGUCAUACAAUGGUCAGGACAGAGGUCGCCAACCCGCGAGGGGAGCCAAUCCCAGAAACCCGAUCGUAGUCGGAUCACAGUCUGCAGCUCGACUGCGUGAAGUCGGAAUCGCUAGUAAUCGCGGAUCAGCAUGUCGCGGUGAAUACGUUCCCGGGUCUUGUACACACCGCCCGUCACACCAUGGGAAUUAGGUUUACCGUGCUUCCUAACCGUAGGGAGGGCGAUUACCACGGUAGGAUUCAUGACUGGGGUGAAGUCGUAACAAGGUAA
This 845-nucleotide unclassified non-coding RNA is filed under the name uncultured Bordetella sp. RNAcentral's name for it is "partial 16S-23S ribosomal RNA intergenic spacer". It matches the Rfam family "Bacterial small subunit ribosomal RNA", at positions 636 to 1499 of the family's 1533-position model. The record is from RNAcentral. Lineage: Bacteria; Pseudomonadati; Pseudomonadota; Betaproteobacteria; Burkholderiales; Alcaligenaceae.